AUUGAACGCUGGCGGCAGGCCUAACACAUGCAAGUCGAACGGUAACAGGAAGAAGCUUGCUUCUUUGCUGACGAGUGGCGGACGGGUGAGUAAUGUCUGGGAAACUGCCUGAUGGAGGGGGAUAACUACUGGAAACGGUAGCUAAUACCGCAUAACGUCGCAAGACCAAAGAGGGGGACCUUCGGGCCUCUUGCCAUCGGAUGUGCCCAGAUGGGAUUAGCCAGUAGGUGGGGUAACGGCUCACCUAGGCGACGAUCCCUAGCUGGUCUGAGAGGAUGACCAGCCACACUGGAACUGAGACACGGUCCAAACUCCUACGGGAGGCAGCAGUGGGGAAUAUUGCACAAUGGGCGCAAGCCUGAUGCAGCCAUGCCGCGUGUAUGAAGAAGGCCUUCGGGUUGUAAAGUACUUUCAGCGGGGAGGAAGGGAGUAAAGUUAAUACCUUUGCUCAUUGACGUUACCCGCAGAAGAAGCACCGGCUAACUCCGUG
This 490-nucleotide ribosomal RNA is filed under the name uncultured bacterium. RNAcentral's name for it is "partial 16S ribosomal RNA". It matches the Rfam family "Bacterial small subunit ribosomal RNA", at positions 30 to 507 of the family's 1533-position model. The record is from RNAcentral.